RNAcentral lists this ribosomal RNA (468 nucleotides) under uncultured bacterium. RNAcentral's name for it is "partial 16S ribosomal RNA". It matches the Rfam family "Bacterial small subunit ribosomal RNA", at positions 28 to 507 of the family's 1533-position model. The record is from RNAcentral.
GACGAACGCUGGCGGCGUGCUUAACACAUGCAAGUCGAACGGAAAGGCCCUGCUUUUGUGGGGUGCUCGAGUGGCGAACGGGUGAGUAACACGUGAGUAACCUGCCCUUGACUUUGGGAUAACUUCAGGAAACUGGGGCUAAUACCGGAUAGGAGCUCCUGCUGCAUGGUGGGGGUUGGAAAGUUUCGGCAGUUGGGGAUGGACUCGCGGCUUAUCAGCUUGUUGGUGGGGUAGUGGCUUACCAAGGCUUUGACGGGUAGCCGGCCUGAGAGGGUGACCGGCCACAUUGGGACUGAGAUACGGCCCAGACUCCUACGGGAGGCAGCAGUGGGGAAUAUUGCACAAUGGGCGGAAGCCUGAUGCAGCAACGCCGCGUGCGGGAUGACGGCCUUCGGGUUGUAAACCGCUUUCGCCUGUGACGAAGCGUGAGUGACGGUAAUGGGUAAAGAGGCACCGGCUAACUACGUG